This 7469-nucleotide long non-coding RNA is filed under the name Homo sapiens (human). RNAcentral describes it as "HSALNT0117310". The record is from RNAcentral. Lineage: Eukaryota; Metazoa; Chordata; Mammalia; Primates; Hominidae.
GUCACUGGGGUGCGCGACGGGCCCUUCCCUGAGCCCCUUUCCAUGGAGCCCAGGCCCCAACGGCGGCAGCUGCCCCUGCCUGACAUCCGGACCCAGCCUCACCUCUCCUUUCACAGCGAGCCCUGCUGGCACUGGGGGCCUGCAUUCCAGUUUUCCUCCCCAGCUGUGGGAUGCUGUUGGCGCCUUGGUGCCAGCCGCUGAGGUGAGCAGGUGGGUGAGGGGCUCCGUGAAGCUCUGGCAUCUGGUGUCCGGCCCAGGACUUGGGGGUGCUGGCCUCGCCGCCUGGCCGGGUCAUACAUAAGGGGUCGGUCAGCUCUGCCCCAGGCCAGGAUGCUGCUGGGCCCACAGCCGCCCCAGGACCCCCUCAGCCCAGGUGCCCUCCCUCAGUGCUCAGUUCCGGGGAUGACUGUGUCCCCCACCCCGUCACGCUGCUCAGCGAGCACCCUGUAAUCCCAUAUGGUAACUCAUGAAUCUACCCACUAAGAAACCACAACAUGUGAUUCCUCGAGGGAGGCUGGGGGGUAGUCGCGGAGUCGUGGCUGGGCCCAGCCGCGGACUCAGGUCUGUGAUGGGCUAACCUGUGCCCCCACAUCCGCAGGUGGGCGGCCUGACCCUAGACUCAGAGCGUGACUUCUUUGGAGACAGGGUCAUUGAAGGUGUGUGUGACGAUGAGGCCACGGGGUCACCCCUGACCAGUGUGACCAGUGUCCUUAUAAAAGGGGCGUGGACCCAGGCGGGCCUAGAGGGAUGGUGGCACAGAGGCAGGAGAAAAUGCCCACCAAAGCCCAGGAGGAGGCCUGGGACAGGCCCUUCCCGGCGCCUUCAGAGGGAGCCUGGCCCUGCCAGAUGCCUGGUCUCACGUCGGCCUCCAGGACUGCGAGACCUUCCUGCUGUGUGGGUGCCCAGUGCCAGCACUUGCUAAGGGUCCCCAGCCCCAGGAAAGCAGUGCCGUCCCCUGAGCCAAGUGGACCUCUCUCUGCUUCUGUGGCUUCUCUAUAUUUAGUUAUCAUGUUUCAAAGGCUUAUCAAAUCCCUGGGCAUAAAACGUUUUACGAAUCUGUCUAAAUAACGUUCCAAGGUGUCUCAUACUCGACGGAAUCUUGGACGGUGCUGCCCCUUGCAGGUGGCUGGGACUGCCUGGGUACAGCCUCUCCUUGGUUUUCAGCUUGGCUCUGCCUUCACCCCACAUGGGGUUCCGUCUGGCCCUAGCGGGGAGGGUGCUUGGCUCGGGCAGUGGGCUGGGCGGCCCCUGGCCCAGGACGGCUCUGGAGAAUAAGGAGGCCACCACAGGCCGGUAGGCCUGAGACCUCUGCCCCUUCUGAGGCCGCGGGGUUGAGCAGCUGAGCAGCUGACUCUCCCAUGGUCAGUGAGGGCUCAGCAUUUUCUCUUCUGGUUGAAAUAGAAACUGGGAAGUUGGAGGCCAAGAUUGAGGGGCAGGCGGAGGUGGUUCUCCUGCCAAGCUUCCUAAACGGCAGAAGCAGCAGAAGCAGCUAGGGUUAGUGUUGGCUUCUCUCUCUCUCUCUCUCUCUCUCUCUCUCUCUCUCUCUGUGUCUCUCUGUCUCUCUCUGUCUCUCUCUCUCUGUGUCUCUCUCUCUCUGUCUCUGUCUCUCUGUCUCUCGGUCUCUCUGUCUCUGUCUCUCUGUCUCUGUCUCUCUCUCUCUGUCUCUCUCUCUCUCUCUCUCAUUUAUUUCUAGAGCAUUUACAAAUUAAUUUUCCUGGUCUAAACCGGGAGGGGCUGCCAUGAUAAAAUGAAGCUGUUUGGUGUUCCAUGUCGAUCUCCCUGAGACAAUGCACUCCUGAGCCUGCUGGGCCCUGCCUCACAGCUGAGUCCUGGUCAGGGCCCUGCCCCUUCUUCCUCUCCCUUGGCCCUGGUUCCACAGAGACCUAUUUCUCCAGGGCAUCCAGGAAGCACCUACGGUGAUGGGGGAUUGCAUUUCAGCAGCAAUCCAUGUGUGAACAUUAAAACGAUCUCCUUAAAUAUUCAUGGUGACCAUGACCUCAUCUGGCUGCCUCGGGCCAGGGCUGGGUGCAGGUCAGGGAAGGGGGCUCAGGCCCUGAGACCCCAGCCUGGUCCCCAGCAAUACAGCUCCCCUCUGUCCUCUCCUCUCUGAGUCAACCCCUCCUGAGAGCUCCGAUGUCUCCUCUCUGGGGUGGCAGAGGUGGGGGCUGCUUUCCAAGCAAAGAAAUGCUCUGGGGCCACGUGGGAAUAAAUAUUUCAUGGGAGAGCAGACCUAGCCAGUAAAAAAUUAAGCAGCUUUACAUCAUCAGAGAGAGAAAGAAAGGGUUGCCUCAUGUUAUGAGUCUGCUGGUGUCCUUAGGACAGAGACAGGGAGACUGAGGUUUUGGGGUAAAUUAUUUAGGGUGUUGUAGGCUGGUCUAGGAAUGUUAAGCUGAAAUGAGACCGGCCCUGGAAGACGACAGGGGGAGCUGGGGUAAGAAGUGCUGCCUUAUGGAAGGCGUGGCGUGCAGAGACGCUGGCCACGAGGAACCCUUUCCCCGUGCACCUGCGCAGUAGCGCCUGCCUCGCGGGAGGCCCCACAGAUGUUGUUGAAUAAAGGGGCAGUGAGUCAGUGAGGCCAUUUCAGCCAUUUUUCUGUUGCCGCCUCACUCUGGAUUUAUGAAAGUACUUGCUAAUCGACGAUCGUCUUCGCCCGGCAUGCUGCAAAUUCACGUUUAUAUGCCCCCUGCCUCCCCCAAAUCAGCUACGGCAGAGUCAGGGGCAGGGACGGGUGGGCAUGGCCGGGCAGCUGCUCGGCUGCGUCACGCCGGGGGUGGCUGGAGCUGAUUCGGAAGCAGUGAAAUGUGGGCCCGCGUGGCUUCCCUGGAAAGAAAACAGGUCCUUGCCUAGAAAUUCAGUGGGUGACCUAAGAUGAUUGAGGGCUGUGUCCAUGUAAAUUUUUCAGUAAGGUGAGGGGCCAGUUUGUCAGUAAACUCCCUGGUGCUGUAAUUAGGGGGCUAUGUUCAGGAACUGGCUUCCUAAUGUGCAUUGAGGGCAGUGCUGACGCAGCCCAUGUACAUGCUAAAUACACGUGGGAGUGUUUGUGAAGAGACAGGCCUGCACAACACAGGGGACCUGACACUGAGCAUCCAUGUGGCCCUUUCUGGUACCCAGAACUGUGCACCCCCCUGUGCAGCAUCUCACAGGACUAAACAGACAGUAACACAACCCCGAACAGACAGUAAAAACCCGGAACAGAGAGGAACAACCCUGAACAGACAGUAACAACCCGGAACAGAGAGGAAGAACCCCAAACAGGCAGUAACAACCCCCAACAGGCAGUAACAACCCCGAACAGAGAGUAACAACCCUGAACAGAGAGGAACAACCCCGAACUGAGAGGAACAACCCUGAACAGACACUAACAACCCAGAACCAGGCAGUUACAAGCCUGAACAGACAGUAACAACCGGGAACAGACAGUAACAACCCUGAACAGACAGUAAAAACCCGGAACAGAGAGGAAGAACCCCAAACAGGCAGUAACAACCCCCAACAGGCAGUAACAACCCCGAACAGAGAGGAACAAUCCCAAACAGGCAGUAACAACCCCGAACAGAGAGGAACAACCCCGAACUGAGAGGAACAACCCCAAACAGGCAGGAACAACCCUGAACAGACACUAACAACCCAGAACCAGGCAGUUACAAGCCUGAACAGACAGUAACAACCGGGAACAGACAGUAACAACCCUGAACAGACAGUAAAAACCCGGAACAGAGAGGAAGAACCCCAAACAGGCAGUAACAACCCCCAACAGGCAGUAACAACCCCAAACAGAGAGGAACAAUCCCAAACAGGCAGUAACAACCCCGAACAGAGAGGAAGAAUCCCAAACAGGCAGUAACAACCCUGAACAGACAGUAAAAACCCCGGAACAGGGAGGAACAACCCCAAACAGGCAGGAACAACCCCAAACAGGCAGUAACAACCCUGAACAGAGAGUAACAACCCCGAACAGACAGUAACAACCCCGAACAGGCAGUAACAACCCCAAACAGAGAGGAACAACCCUGAACAGACAGUAACAACCCUGAACAGACAGUAAAACCCCAGAACAGAGAGGAACGAACCCAAACAGGCAGGAACAACCCUGAACAGGCAGUAACAACCCUGAACAGAGAGUAACAACCCUGAACAGACAGUAACAACCCAGAACAGGGAGGAACAACCCGGAACAGAGAGGAACAACCCCAAACAGGCAGGAACAACCCCAAACAGGCAGUAACAACCCCGAACAGAGAGUAACAACCCCGAACAGACAGUAACAACCACGAACAGGCAGUAACAACCCCGAACAGAGAGGAACAACCCUGAACAGGCAGUAACAACCCUGAACAGACAGUAAAACCCCAGAACAGAGAGGAACAACCCCAAACAGGCAGGAACAACCCUGAACAGGCAGUAACAACCCUGAACAGAGAGUAACAACCCUGAACAGACAGUAACAACCCAGAACAGGGAGGAACAACCCCAAACAGGCAGGAACAACCCCAAACAGGCAGUAACAAACCCGAAAAGAGAGUAACAACCCCGAACAGACAGUAACAACCACGAACAGGCAGUAACAACCCCGAACAGAGGGGAACAACCCCGAACAGAGAGUAAUAACCCCAAACAGGCCGUAACAACCCCGAACAGGCAGUAACAACCCCGAAGAGAGAGGAACAACCCCGAAAAGAUAGGAACAACAUCGAACAGAGAGGAACAACCCCAAACAGGCUAUAACAACCCCGAAGAGAGAGGAACAACCCCGAAAAGAGAGGAACAACCCCGAAAAGAGAAGAACAACACUGAACAGAGAGGAACAACCCCGAACAGGCAGGAACAACCCCGAACAGGCAGGAACAACCCCGAACAGAGAGGAACCCCGAAAAGAGAGGAACAACACCGAACAGAGAGGAACAACCCCGAACAGGCAGGAACAACCCCGAACAGAGAGUAACAACCCCGAACAGAGAGUAACAACCCCAAACAGGCAGUAACAACCCCGAACAGGCAGUAACAACCCCGAACAGAGAGGAACAACCCCGAACAGGCAGUAACAACCCCGAACAGAAAGGAACAACCCCAAAAAGAGAGGAACAACACCAAACAGAGAGGAACAACCCCGAACAGGCAGGAACAAUCCCGAACAGGCAGGAACAUCCCGAACAGUCAGGAACAACCCCAAACAGAGAGGAACAACCCUGAACAGGCAGUAACAACCCUGAACAGAGAGUAACAACCCCGAACAGAGAGGAACAACCCUGGACAGAGAGGAACAACACCGAACAGAGAGGAACAACCCCAAACAGACAGUAACAACACCGAACAGGCAGGAACAACCCCGAACAGGCAGUAACAACCCCGAAGAGAGAGGAACAACCCCGAACAGGCAGUAACAACCCGAACAGAGAGUAACGACCCCGAACAGGCAGUAACAACCCCAGAGAGGAACAACCCGCAACAGAGAGGAACAACCCCGAACAGAGAGGAACAACCCCGAACAGAGAGGAACAACACCGAACAGGCAGAAACAACCCCGAACAGGCAGGAACAACCCCGAACAGGCAGGAACAACCCCAAAUAGAGAGUAACAACCCCGAAAAGGCAGUAACAACGCCAAACAGAGAGGAACAACCCCGAACAGAGAGGAACAACCCCGAACAGGCAGGAACAACCCCGAACAGGCAGGAACAACCCCAAACAGGCAGGAACAACCCCAAACAGAGAGUAACAACCCCGAACAGGCAGUAACAACCCCAAACAGAGAGGAACAACCCCAAACAGAGAGGAACAACCCCGAACAGACAGUAACAACCCGGAACAGAGAGUAACAACCCAAAACAGGCAGUAACAAUCCCGAACAGGCAGUAACAACCCCGAACAGACAGUAACAGCCCUGAACAGAGUGUAACAACCCCGAACAGAGAGGAACAACACCGAACAGGCAGUAACAACCCCGAACAGAGAGUAACAACCCCGAACAGAGAGGAACAACCCCAAAUAGUCAGUAACAAUCCCGAACAGGCAGUAACAACUCCGAACAGAGAGUAACAACCCCGAACAGAAAGUAACAACCCCGAACAGAGAGUAACAACCCCGAACAGGCAGUAACAAUCCGGAACAGAGAGUAACAACCUGGAACAGGCAGUAACAACUCGGAACAGGCAGUAACAGCCCUGAACAGGCAGUAACAACCCGGAACAGAGAGUAACAACCCUGAGCAGGCAGUAACAACCCGGAACAGGCAGUAACAACCCCAGCUAAACCAAUAGAACCGGCCUGGCAGCCACUCCUGUUCCAGUGCAGCACUCCACCAUGCAGAGGGGUCGGAGAAGCAGUUGUAGGUCACAGCAAGGAGUGGGCCGUGGGGAUCAUGGCCAGGUCGUGAAAUCCAAGUGGCACCCGCCAUGGCACCAGCCAGAACAGGUCCCCUCCUUUCCAAAGGGCAGAGCUGGGGCUGGCCCUGGAGAUGCUGGGGUCAGCAAGGGCUGGGGCUGCGCUCCCUCCUGGGUCUGUGUCAAAAGCAGCCAGCACCGAAGCCUGUCCACAUCGGCCAGGCCCUGUGCAAGCCGCGCUUCCCAGCAGACGGCACGGAAUUGCUGCUUAUCAGCGACUGAGCUGGCCGUGUUUAGGAGGACGGGGUGAUGCCACUGACACUGAGGGAGGCGUGAAGCCUGAGACGCGCCUGUGAGACCGGGACCGGUGGGGCCGGCGCGCGCCCAGAUUCCAGCUCUGCCCCAGGAGCCUGAAGCCCCCAGCAACCUGCAGUGUGGGCUCUGAGAAACUCGGUGAAACAGGGCUUCCCUGCAGGUGGCCAGCGGAUGGGACAAUCAGGGCAGACUUGGAGGUCUCUGAAGUCUUGGAAAGUCUGAAGGGCAGGCCAGCCUGGGAGAUGGAGGACACACUGGAGUGGCAGGUGCCUCGGGCGGCCGGCUGAGCACCAAAGAGGGACUUCUCACACACAGGUCCGCUUGGUCUCCUACACGCUUGCCCACGCGCUCCGUGGAUGCAGGAGCCGUGGUUAUCCUUGGCAGAAGGUUGAGUAGCACCUGCCUUGCCAGGGACCUGCUCCAAGCAGGCACGUCUGGUGAAUGCUGUGCCAGGCCCUUCCGGGAGCAGCCCCUCCCCGGGUGCCGGGGUCACCUGGCUCUGCCUGCCUGCAUGUGGAUCCCUGCGGGGCAGCGGGCACCCGGAUGACGUGGUUUUCCCUCACUGGAUUGGAGUGGAGUGAAUUUAACCCCCUCGUGGCUGCCAUCAUUUUCACUGUGAGGGAAGAGCAGCCGUGCCGUGGUGGUUUUAGAUGUCGUCUGUGGAGGACAUCAGGCUGACAUCCACGUCCUGGACUCCCCCUCGUUUGGUUUCAGAAUUUCUCUUAAAGACAACAUCAUAUUGUGACCCCAAAGCAUUCGAUAGAAAUAUCAAAAUUUUAAGGCACUUUGAGAAUUAAGAUAAAAUAUCUGUAAAUAUUAUGUCAAAUUUCACCA